UCUUGUCCUCUACAUCAGGAAUACUUAUAUAGGCAUUUUUAUAUGACCGCAAAAAAAUUUUUGUGGUCGUAUAUUGGUAUGACGUCGUCGUCGUCGUCCGGCGUCCUCCGGCGUCGUCCGAAGACACAUUGGUUUUCGCACUCUAACUUUAGUUUAAGUGAAUGGAUCUCUAUGAAAUUUUACCACAAGGUUCAAUACCACAAAAGGAAGGUUGGGAUUGAUUUUGGGGGUUUUGGUACCAACAGUUAAGGAAUUAAGGGCCAAAAAGGGGCCAAAAAUAAGCAUUUUUGUAACUUCCAGACAUAACUUGUGUGUUAGUGUAUGGAUCUCUCUGACAUUGUACCACAAGGUUCCAUAUCACAAAUGGAAUGCUGGGAUUGAUUUUGGGGGUAAUUGUUGCAAAAUUUUAGGAAUUAGGGGCCAAAAAAGGGGCAAAAAACAAGCAUUUUUCUAGUUUCAUGAUAAUAACUUGUGUGUAAGUAUAUGGAUUUUUCUGAAAUUGAACUACAAGGUUCCAUAUCACAAAGGGAAAGCUGGAAUUGAGUUUGGGGGUAAUUGCCCAAAACGUUUAGGAAUAAGGGGCCAAAAAGGGGCCAAAAAUAAGCAUUUUUCUAGUUUCCAGACAAUAACUUGUGUUCAAGUGUAUGGAUCUCUCUGAAAUUGUACUGCAAGGUACCAUCCCACAAAGGGAAUGCUGGGAUUGAUUUUGGGGGUAAUUGCCUCAAAAUUUUAGGAAUUAGGGGCCAAAAAGGGGCAAAAAACAAGCAUUUUUCUAGUUUCAGGACAAUAACUUGUGUGUAAGUGUAUGGAUCUUUAUGAAAUUGUACUACAAGGUUCCAUAUCACAAAAGGAAAGCUGGGUUUGAGUUUGGGGGUAAUUACCCUUAACGUUUAGGAAUUUGGGGCCAAAAAGGGGCCUAAAAACAAGCAUUUUUCUAGUUUCCAGACAAUAACUUGUGUUCAAGUGUAUGGAUCUCUCUGAAAUUGUACUGCAAGGUACCAUAUCACAAAAGGAAAGCUGGGUUUGAGUUUGGGGGUAAUUGCUAUAAACGUUUAGGAAUUUGGGGCCAAAAAGGGGCCUAAAAACAAGCAUUUUUCAAGUUUCAGGACAAUAACUUGUGUGUAAGUGUAUGGAUCUUUCUGAAAUUGUACUACAAGGUUCCAUAUCACAAAAGGAAAGCUGGGUUUGAGUUUGGGGGUAAUUGCUAUAAACGUUUAGGAAUUUGGGGCCAAAAAGGGGCCUAAAAACAAGCAUUUUUCUAGUUUCCAGACAAUAACUUGUGUUCAAGUUGUAUGGAUCUCUCUGAAAUUGUACUGCAAGGUACCAUACCACAAAGGGAAGGCUGGGAUUGAGUUUGGGGGUGAUGAAUCAUAAGGGGGUUCAAAAAAUUUAGUGGAGGGAUUUUUUUUUUCUUUAAAAUUUUCCAUUUUAAAUUGGUUAUUU
Molecule: long non-coding RNA, 1443 nt
Organism: Mytilus californianus (California mussel)
Lineage: Eukaryota; Metazoa; Mollusca; Bivalvia; Mytilida; Mytilidae
Exons: 2
Source: RefSeq, a predicted model, not a curated record